Molecule: long non-coding RNA, 474 nt
Organism: Monopterus albus (swamp eel)
Lineage: Eukaryota; Metazoa; Chordata; Actinopteri; Synbranchiformes; Synbranchidae
Exons: 3
Source: RefSeq, a predicted model, not a curated record
GGAGCUUAUAGUUCCCUGGGAAGGUGCUGUAGAUACAGCUUAUGAGGGGAAGAAACUGAAAUAUACAGAAUUAGCCAACAGAGGCAGCGGAGAGUGGCUGGAAUGUUAAAGUCUGUCCCAUGGAGGUUGGUUGUAUGGAAUUUGUAGCCAAACCAGCUGCUAGGUGAGUUAGGUAUAAACAUGUGGAGCCUAAGACAGACACUCAGGAACCUGGCUGAUCAAUGUCCAGUAAGUGGCUCUGAAGCAGAAGAAAGGUGUGUGAAUGGGGUAAAAAGCAGCUGAACUGAUACCCAGAAUGCCACUGAUAGAGUACGAGGAGCCGGCUGAGUCGCUGGUCACCGCUGAGACCUGUGUGGCAGCCGCAGAUGUUGCUGCAGAUAGAUCACAUGACAACACAAGCAGUUUGAAGGAUGCAUUAAGAGAGGUCUCCCUCACGAAAGAGGUCUAUGGUCUCACCCGGAGUCACCCACUUAA